GACGAACGCUGGCGGCGUGCUUAACACAUGCAAGUCGAACGGAAAGGCCCUUCGGGGUACUCGAGUGGCGAACGGGUGAGUAACACGUGGGUGAUCUGCCCUGCACUUUGGGAUAAGCCUGGGAAACUGGGUCUAAUACCGAAUAUACCCUUCUGGCUGCAUGGCCUGGGAGGGGAAAGCUUUUGCGGUGUGGGAUGGGCCCGCGGCCUAUCAGCUUGUUGGUGGGGUGAUGGCCUACCAAGGCGACGACGGGUAGCCGGCCUGAGAGGGUGACCGGCCACACUGGGACUGAGACACGGCCCAGACUCCUACGGGAGGCAG
This 321-nucleotide ribosomal RNA is filed under the name uncultured Actinomycetes bacterium. RNAcentral describes it as "bacterial SSU rRNA". It matches the Rfam family "Bacterial small subunit ribosomal RNA", at positions 28 to 351 of the family's 1533-position model. Lineage: Bacteria; Bacillati; Actinomycetota; Actinomycetes. The record is from RNAcentral.